CAGUGUUCUUGCCUGGAGAAUCCCAGGGACAGGGGAGCCUCGUGGGCUGCUGUCUAUUGGUCGCACAGAGUCGGACACGACUGAAGCGAUUUAGCAGCAGCAGCAGCAGCAUUUCUCAACUGGCUGUGUAAGAAUAAGAUAAGAGGUGAAUUCAGCUGUUGAAGAGAAGAAAAUCAUAGUGGAACACGGAACACAUAAGUAAGAUGAGAGGAGAGGAUCCAAUGAAGAUAUGAAGGACACCCAGAGGCUGGGAGCCACGAGAUGGCAAACAAAGCCUACAUAAGUAGCCUCCAUACAUAGCCUACAAAGCCCCUACAACCCCUACGGAGGAAAGAGGAUCUUCCCGACCCAGGGAUCAAACCCUAUCUCCUGGCAGAUGGACUCUUUAUCACUGAGCCACCUGGAAAGCCUUAAUUGAAAACUCUAUGUCAAAGUUAAACUUACAAAAAGGAAGUAUCAACCUCAGUUUAGCAAUUCCAACAUUAGGGACAGAAUG
Molecule: long non-coding RNA, 496 nt
Organism: Bubalus bubalis (water buffalo)
Lineage: Eukaryota; Metazoa; Chordata; Mammalia; Artiodactyla; Bovidae
Exons: 3
Source: RefSeq, a predicted model, not a curated record